GGGGGGAAAUGCGGUGCUACACAUGCAGUCGAACGCUCUCGUUCCUUCGGGAACAAUGAGAGAGUGGCGAACGGGUGACUUUUAAGUGAGAAACCUGCCCUGGAGACCGGGACAACCCGGGCCAUCUCGGGCUAAUACCGGAUAUCUCCACCGGACCGCAUGGUCUGGUGAAGAAAUGCUCCGGCGCUCUGGGAGGGUCUCGCGGCCUAUCAGCUAGUUGGUGAGGUAACGGCUCACCAAGGCAUCGACGGGUAGCUGGUCUGAGAGGACGAUCAGCCACACUGGGACUGAGACACGGCCCAGACUCCUACGGGAGGCAGCAGUGGGGAAUCUUGUGCAAUGGGCGAAAGCCUGACGCAGCAACGCCGCGUGGGGGAUGAAGGCCCUCGGGUCGUAAACCCCUUUCAGCAGGGACGAAAAUGACGGUACCUGCAGAAGAAGGACCGGCCAACUACGUGCCAGCAGCCGCGGUAACACGUAGGGUCCAAGCGUUGUCCGGAUUCAUUGGGCGUAAAGAGCUCGUAGGCGGUUUUGUAAGUCGGGUGUGAAAACUCAGGGCUCAACCCUGAGACGCCACCCGAUACUGCAAUGACUCGAGUCCGGUAGGGGAGCAUGGAAUUCCUGGUGUAGCGGUGAAAUGCGCAGAUAUCAGGAGGAACACCAGUAGCGAAGGCGGUGCUCUGGGCCGGUACUGACGCUGAGGAGCGAAAGCGUGGGGAGCGAACAGGAUUAGAUACCCUGGUAGUCCACGCCGUAAACGUUGGGCACUAGGUGUGGGAUUCAAUCACGGAUUCCGUGCCGUAGCUAACGCAUUAAGUGCCCCGCCUGGGGAAUACGGCCGCAGGGCUAAAACUCAAAU
This 859-nucleotide ribosomal RNA is filed under the name uncultured bacterium. RNAcentral describes it as "bacterial SSU rRNA". It matches the Rfam family "Bacterial small subunit ribosomal RNA", at positions 25 to 906 of the family's 1533-position model. The record is from RNAcentral.